RNAcentral lists this transfer RNA (75 nucleotides) under Holosporales bacterium. RNAcentral describes it as "tRNA-Val". It matches the Rfam family "tRNA". From Rfam's summary of the family: Transfer RNA (tRNA) molecules are approximately 80 nucleotides in length. Their secondary structure includes four short double-helical elements and three loops (D, anti-codon, and T loops). The record is from RNAcentral. Lineage: Bacteria; Pseudomonadati; Pseudomonadota; Alphaproteobacteria; Holosporales.
GGGCGAUUGGCUCAGUGGUAGAGCAUCUCGUUUACACCGAGGAGGUCGGCGGUUCGAAUCCGUCAUCGCCCACCA